RNAcentral lists this small RNA (547 nucleotides) under Microascus cirrosus. Its description in RNAcentral is "eukaryotic LSU rRNA". It matches the Rfam family "Eukaryotic large subunit ribosomal RNA", at positions 50 to 602 of the family's 3401-position model. The record is from RNAcentral. Lineage: Eukaryota; Fungi; Ascomycota; Sordariomycetes; Microascales; Microascaceae.
GCGGAGGAAAAGAAACCAACAGGGAUUGCCCCAGUAACGGCGAGUGAAGCGGCAACAGCUCAAAUUUGAAAUCUGGUCCCCCCGCGGGGCCCGAGUUGUAAUUUGAAGAGGAUGCUUCUGGCAAGGUGCCGUCCGAGUUCCCUGGAACGGGACGCCGCAGAGGGUGAGAGCCCCGUACGGUCGGACGCCGAGCCUCUGUGAAGCUCCUUCGACGAGUCGAGUAGUUUGGGAAUGCUGCUCAAAAUGGGAGGUAAACCCCUUCUAAAGCUAAAUACCGGCCAGAGACCGAUAGCGCACAAGUAGAGUGAUCGAAAGAUGAAAAGCACUUUGAAAAGAGAGUUAAAAAGCACGUGAAAUUGUUGAAAGGGAAGCGCUUGCGACCAGACUCGCGCCCGUCGGAUCAGCCGUCGCUCGUCGGCGGCGCACUCCGGCGGGCUCGGGCCAGCAUCAGUUCGCCUCGGGGGGAGAAAGGCGGCGGGAAUGUGGCUCCACGGAGUGUUAUAGCCCACCGCGUAAUACCCCCGGGCGGACUGAGGACCGCGCGUAG